RNAcentral lists this ribosomal RNA (2921 nucleotides) under Staphylococcus aureus VET0333R. Its description in RNAcentral is "bacterial LSU rRNA". It matches the Rfam family "Bacterial large subunit ribosomal RNA". The record is from RNAcentral. Lineage: Bacteria; Bacillati; Bacillota; Bacilli; Caryophanales; Staphylococcaceae.
UUAAGUUAUUAAGGGCGCACGGUGGAUGCCUUGGCACUAGAAGCCGAUGAAGGACGUUACUAACGACGAUAUGCUUUGGGGAGCUGUAAGUAAGCUUUGAUCCAGAGAUUUCCGAAUGGGGAAACCCAGCAUGAGUUAUGUCAUGUUAUCGAUAUGUGAAUACAUAGCAUAUCAGAAGGCACACCCGGAGAACUGAAACAUCUUAGUACCCGGAGGAAGAGAAAGAAAAUUCGAUUCCCUUAGUAGCGGCGAGCGAAACGGGAAGAGCCCAAACCAACAAGCUUGCUUGUUGGGGUUGUAGGACACUCUAUACGGAGUUACAAAGGACGACAUUAGACGAAUCAUCUGGAAAGAUGAAUCAAAGAAGGUAAUAAUCCUGUAGUCGAAAAUGUUGUCUCUCUUGAGUGGAUCCUGAGUACGACGGAGCACAUGAAAUUCCGUCGGAAUCUGGGAGGACCAUCUCCUAAGGCUAAAUACUCUCUAGUGACCGAUAGUGAACCAGUACCGUGAGGGAAAGGUGAAAAGCACCCCGGAAGGGGAGUGAAAUAGAACCUGAAACCGUGUGCUUACAAGUAGUCAGAGCCCGUUAAUGGGUGAUGGCGUGCCUUUUGUAGAAUGAACCGGCGAGUUACGAUUUGAUGCAAGGUUAAGCAGUAAAUGUGGAGCCGUAGCGAAAGCGAGUCUGAAUAGGGCGUUUAGUAUUUGGUCGUAGACCCGAAACCAGGUGAUCUACCCUUGGUCAGGUUGAAGUUCAGGUAACACUGAAUGGAGGACCGAACCGACUUACGUUGAAAAGUGAGCGGAUGAACUGAGGGUAGCGGAGAAAUUCCAAUCGAACCUGGAGAUAGCUGGUUCUCUCCGAAAUAGCUUUAGGGCUAGCCUCAAGUGAUGAUUAUUGGAGGUAGAGCACUGUUUGGACGAGGGGCCCCUCUCGGGUUACCGAAUUCAGACAAACUCCGAAUGCCAAUUAAUUUAACUUGGGAGUCAGAACAUGGGUGAUAAGGUCCGUGUUCGAAAGGGAAACAGCCCAGACCACCAGCUAAGGUCCCAAAAUAUAUGUUAAGUGGAAAAGGAUGUGGCGUUGCCCAGACAACUAGGAUGUUGGCUUAGAAGCAGCCAUCAUUUAAAGAGUGCGUAAUAGCUCACUAGUCGAGUGACACUGCGCCGAAAAUGUACCGGGGCUAAACAUAUUACCGAAGCUGUGGAUUGUCCUUUGGACAAUGGUAGGAGAGCGUUCUAAGGGCGUUGAAGCAUGAUCGUAAGGACAUGUGGAGCGCUUAGAAGUGAGAAUGCCGGUGUGAGUAGCGAAAGACGGGUGAGAAUCCCGUCCACCGAUUGACUAAGGUUUCCAGAGGAAGGCUCGUCCGCUCUGGGUUAGUCGGGUCCUAAGCUGAGGCCGACAGGCGUAGGCGAUGGAUAACAGGUUGAUAUUCCUGUACCACCUAUAAUCGUUUUAAUCGAUGGGGGGACGCAGUAGGAUAGGCGAAGCGUGCGAUUGGAUUGCACGUCUAAGCAGUAAGGCUGAGUAUUAGGCAAAUCCGGUACUCGUUAAGGCUGAGCUGUGAUGGGGAGAAGACAUUGUGUCUUCGAGUCGUUGAUUUCACACUGCCGAGAAAAGCCUCUAGAUAGAAAAUAGGUGCCCGUACCGCAAACCGACACAGGUAGUCAAGAUGAGAAUUCUAAGGUGAGCGAGCGAACUCUCGUUAAGGAACUCGGCAAAAUGACCCCGUAACUUCGGGAGAAGGGGUGCUCUUUAGGGUUAACGCCCAGAAGAGCCGCAGUGAAUAGGCCCAAGCGACUGUUUAUCAAAAACACAGGUCUCUGCUAAACCGUAAGGUGAUGUAUAGGGGCUGACGCCUGCCCGGUGCUGGAAGGUUAAGAGGAGUGGUUAGCUUCUGCGAAGCUACGAAUCGAAGCCCCAGUAAACGGCGGCCGUAACUAUAACGGUCCUAAGGUAGCGAAAUUCCUUGUCGGGUAAGUUCCGACCCGCACGAAAGGCGUAACGAUUUGGGCACUGUCUCAACGAGAGACUCGGUGAAAUCAUAGUACCUGUGAAGAUGCAGGUUACCCGCGACAGGACGGAAAGACCCCGUGGAGCUUUACUGUAGCCUGAUAUUGAAAUUCGGCACAGCUUGUACAGGAUAGGUAGGAGCCUUUGAAACGUGAGCGCUAGCUUACGUGGAGGCGCUGGUGGGAUACUACCCUAGCUGUGUUGGCUUUCUAACCCGCACCACUUAUCGUGGUGGGAGACAGUGUCAGGCGGGCAGUUUGACUGGGGCGGUCGCCUCCUAAAAGGUAACGGAGGCGCUCAAAGGUUCCCUCAGAAUGGUUGGAAAUCAUUCAUAGAGUGUAAAGGCAUAAGGGAGCUUGACUGCGAGACCUACAAGUCGAGCAGGGUCGAAAGACGGACUUAGUGAUCCGGUGGUUCCGCAUGGAAGGGCCAUCGCUCAACGGAUAAAAGCUACCCCGGGGAUAACAGGCUUAUCUCCCCCAAGAGUUCACAUCGACGGGGAGGUUUGGCACCUCGAUGUCGGCUCAUCGCAUCCUGGGGCUGUAGUCGGUCCCAAGGGUUGGGCUGUUCGCCCAUUAAAGCGGUACGCGAGCUGGGUUCAGAACGUCGUGAGACAGUUCGGUCCCUAUCCGUCGUGGGCGUAGGAAAUUUGAGAGGAGCUGUCCUUAGUACGAGAGGACCGGGAUGGACAUACCUCUGGUGUACCAGUUGUCGUGCCAACGGCAUAGCUGGGUAGCUAUGUGUGGACGGGAUAAGUGCUGAAAGCAUCUAAGCAUGAAGCCCCCCUCAAGAUGAGAUUUCCCAACUUCGGUUAUAAGAUCCCUCAAAGAUGAUGAGGUUAAUAGGUUCGAGGUGGAAGCAUGGUGACAUGUGGAGCUGACGAAUACUAAUCGAUCGAAGACUUAAUCAA